GAGAGGCAGAGGAGCGGCCAACGACUCGACCCAGUUCACUGUGGCUGGCAGGAUGGUGAAGAAAGGUUUGGCGUCACCUACUGCCAUAACCCCAGUAGCCUCACCCAUUUGCGGUAAAACAAGAGGCACCACACCCGUUUCCAAACCCCUGGAAGAUAUCGAAGCCAGACCAGAUAUGCAGUUAGAAUCGGACCUGAAGCUGGACAGGCUGGAAACCUUUCUAAGAAG
RNAcentral lists this unclassified non-coding RNA (228 nucleotides) under Hevea brasiliensis (rubber tree). The record is from RNAcentral. Lineage: Eukaryota; Viridiplantae; Streptophyta; Magnoliopsida; Malpighiales; Euphorbiaceae.